This 584-nucleotide ribosomal RNA is filed under the name uncultured bacterium. RNAcentral describes it as "bacterial SSU rRNA". It matches the Rfam family "Bacterial small subunit ribosomal RNA", at positions 332 to 922 of the family's 1533-position model. The record is from RNAcentral.
GCCCUUCCUACGGGAGGCAGCAGUGGGGGAUAUUGCACAAUGGGCGCAAGCCUGAUGCAGCGACGCCGCGUGAGGGAUGACGGCCUUCGGGUUGUAAACCUCUUUCAGUUGGGAAGAAGCCUUUCGGGGUGACGGUACCUUCAGAAGAAGCACCGGCUAACUACGUGCCAGCAGCCGCGGUAAUACGUAGGGUGCGAGCGUUAUUCGGAAUUAUUGGGCGUAAAGAGCUCGUAGGCGGUUUGUCACGUCUGCUGUGAAAGCUCGGGGCUUAACUCCGAGUGUGCAGUGGGUACGGGCAGGCUGGAGUGCAGUAGGGGAGACUGGAAUUCCUGGUGUAGCGGUGAAAUGCGCAGAUAUCAGGAGGAACACCGAUGGCGAAGGCAGGUCUCUGGGCUGUUACUGACGCUGAGGAGCGAAAGCAUGGGGAGCGAACAGGAUUAGAUACCCUGGUAGUCCAUGCCGUAAACGUUGGGCACUAGGUGUGGGGAACAUUCCACGUUUUCCGCGCCGUAGCUAACGCAUUAAGUGCCCCGCCUGGGGAGUACGGCCGCAAGGCUAAAACUCAAAGGAAUUGACGGAAGGGC